Molecule: ribosomal RNA, 375 nt
Filed under: uncultured organism
Description: partial 16S ribosomal RNA
Rfam family: Bacterial small subunit ribosomal RNA
Source: RNAcentral
GUAGGUGGCAGCGUUGUCCGGGAAUUAUUGGGGCGUAAAGCGCGCGCAGGCGGUUCUUUAAGUCUGAUGUGAAAGCCCACGGGCUCAACCGUGGAGGGUCAUUGGAAACUGGAGAACUUGAGUACAGAAGAGGAAAGCGGAAUUCCACGUGUAGCGGUGAAAUGCGUAGAGAUGUGGAGGAACACCAGUGGCGAAGGCGGCUUUCUGGUCUGUAACUGACGCUGAGGCGCGAAAGCGUGGGGAGCAAACAGGAUUAGAUACCCUGGUAGUCCACGCCGUAAACGAUGAGUGCUAAGUGUUAGGGGGUUUCCGCCCCUUAGUGCUGCAGCUAACGCAUUAAGCACUCCGCCUGGGGAGUACGGCCGCAAAGGCUGA